RNAcentral lists this ribosomal RNA (776 nucleotides) under uncultured Neocallimastigales. RNAcentral describes it as "partial large subunit ribosomal RNA". It matches the Rfam family "Eukaryotic large subunit ribosomal RNA", at positions 26 to 644 of the family's 3401-position model. Lineage: Eukaryota; Fungi; Neocallimastigomycota; Neocallimastigomycetes; Neocallimastigales. The record is from RNAcentral.
CGCAUCUGUGCAUGCAGCAUAUCAAUUAAGCGGAGGAAAAGAAACUAACAAGGAUUCCCUUAGUAACGGCGAGUGAAGCGGGAAGAGCUCAAAUUUGAAAUCUUCAAGGUUUUACCUUGACGAAUUGUAGUUUAAAGAAGUGUUUUCUGUUGAAGUUUUGGUAAAAGUUCUUUGGAAUAGGACAUCAUAGAGGGUGAGAAUCCCGUAUUUGACCAUUAUUUUCAGCUGUGUGAUACACUUUCAAAGAGUCGGAUUGUUUGGGAAUGCAGUCCAAAAUGGGUGGUAAAUUUCAUCUAAAGCUAAAUAUUGGCGAGAGACCGAUAGCGAACAAGUACCGUGAGGGAAAGAUGAAAAGAACUUUGAAAAGAGAGUUAAACAGUACGUGAAAUUGUCAAAAGGGAAGCGUUUGACACCAGUGUUGUUUUCUCGAAAAUCAAUUAAAAAGAGUUUAGAUUUUGUUGUGUAUUGACCUUAACAGCUUGCAUUUCAAUUUUCUUGCUUUUUUUAAUGCACUUUUCGUUUAACAAGUCAACAUCAGUUUCUUUCGUUGUAAAAAGGUCAUUGGAAGGUGGCUUUCUUUUCGGAGAAAGUGUUUAUAGCCUUUGACUCCUGCAAUCGGAGAGACUGAGGUCUGCAGCGUAGAUCCUUCGGGGUUAGAUACAUUUGUGCUAAGUUAUAGCUUUUUAUAGACAACUUGUUGACUAUGAUUAGUCUUGUAGCUUACUCGCUUAUGCUAUUUUACCUACGCUUAGGAUGUUGACACACGCGCGUGCUCG